This 19-nucleotide small nuclear RNA is filed under the name Arabidopsis thaliana (thale cress). RNAcentral's name for it is "snRNA_15292". The record is from RNAcentral. Lineage: Eukaryota; Viridiplantae; Streptophyta; Magnoliopsida; Brassicales; Brassicaceae.
CUUAUGAAAUCAGUGAUCA